AAAGGAAUAGCAAUGAUGUUCAGUUAAGAAACACAGAUAGUGAAAACUUUCUUUUGUUGAGGAAAUCGAACGUGGCAUGCAGCUUCCACUGAGUGCAAGAUCCUGAGGCCUAGCUACCGGCUGUUGAGUCCUGAGCACCCGCGCAACAUGGAGGAGUCCUCUGCCAAUCACCCCUUGCUGUGAGAAAUGGAUAAAAGCUGCAAAACCAAGGGAAUCACUAACAGAACAAUAGAGGUGAAGAAGGAAAUUAUUUCCAAACAUGAAAGUGGUGUCUGUGUAUGUGAUCUGGCAAUGCAGUUUGGUAUGGCCAAAUCUACAAUUUGUACCAUCCUAAAAAAUAAAGAAGCCAUUAAAGGAGCCAGUGUUGCAAGAGGUGUUAAAAUACAAGACAAAGAACACAGGCAAUUGAAGAAAUGGAAAAAUUGCUUUUUGUAUGGAUAAAUGAAAAACAGUCGGCGGUGACAGCGUUUCUGAGAACAUGAUUUGUGAAAAAGCUUUACAUUUGCAUGCUGACCUCAUCAAAAACAUCCGUAGAACAAGUGCUGAGAGUGAUAUUUUCAAGGCAAGUAGAAGGUGGUUUGAAAAGUUUAAGAGGAGCCCGGCCGGG
Long non-coding RNA from Miniopterus natalensis, 607 nucleotides. RefSeq lists it as uncharacterized. The record is from RefSeq and is a predicted model, not a curated record. NCBI's taxonomy places the organism in Eukaryota, Metazoa, Chordata, Mammalia, Chiroptera, Miniopteridae.